AAUGGAGUGUCUGAAUAAAGAAUUAUCUUGAUAGGAUAAAGCAUGUGUUUYUACACCUCCAUUA
This 64-nucleotide transfer RNA is filed under the name Rhopaea magnicornis (brown cockchafer). RNAcentral describes it as "tRNA-Ile". Lineage: Eukaryota; Metazoa; Arthropoda; Insecta; Coleoptera; Scarabaeidae. The record is from RNAcentral.